RNAcentral lists this ribosomal RNA (407 nucleotides) under uncultured bacterium. Its description in RNAcentral is "bacterial SSU rRNA". It matches the Rfam family "Bacterial small subunit ribosomal RNA", at positions 29 to 422 of the family's 1533-position model. The record is from RNAcentral.
AGCGAACGUUAGCGGCGCGCCUAACACAUGCAAGUCGCACGAGAAAGGGAGCAAUCCCCGGUACAGUGGCGCACGGGUGAGUAACACGUAGAUGACCUUCCCUGGAGUGGUGGAUAACCUGCCGAAAGGCGGGCUAAUACAGCAUGGGACCACAUGGUUUUGACCGAGUGGUGAAAGCGGGCCUCUGUUCACAAGCUCGCGCUCUGGGAUGGGUCUGCGUCCCAUCAGCUAGUUGGUGAGGUAAUGGCUCACCAAGGCAUCGACGGGUAGCUGGUCUGAGAGGAUGACCAGCCACACUGGAACUGAGACACGGUCCAGACUCCUACGGGAGGCAGCAGUGGGGAAGUCUUGCGCAAUGGGCGAAAGCCUGACGCAGCGACGCCGCGUGGGUGAUGAAGGCCUCGUGU